RNAcentral lists this ribosomal RNA (228 nucleotides) under uncultured bacterium. Its description in RNAcentral is "partial 16S ribosomal RNA". It matches the Rfam family "Bacterial small subunit ribosomal RNA", at positions 568 to 795 of the family's 1533-position model. The record is from RNAcentral.
UCCGUAGGCGGGCAAUUAAGUCAGAGGUGAAAUCCCACAGCUCAACUGUGGAACCGCCUUUGAUACUGGUUGUCUUGAGUUACAGUGAAGUAGAUAGAAUAUGUAGUGUAGCGGUGAAAUGCAUAGAUAUUACAUAGAAUACCGAUUGCGAAGGCAGUCUACUAACUGUAUACUGACGCUAAUGGACGAAAGCGUGGGGAGCGAACAGGAUUAGAUACCCUGGUAGUC